AGCAGUCGCCACGGGAACACGUAGGUGGCAAGCGUUGUCCGGAAUUAUUGGGCGUAAAGCGCGCGCAGGCGGACCAGUCAGUCUGUCUUAAAAGUUCGGGGCUUAACCCCGUGAGGGGAUGGAAACUGCUGAUCUAGAGUAUCGGAGAGGAAAGUGGAAUUCCUAGUGUAGCGGUGAAAUGCGUAGAUAUUAGGAAGAACACCAGUGGCGAAGGCGACUUUCUGGACGAAAACUGACGCUGAGGCGCGAAAGCCAGGGGAGCGAACGGGAUUAGAUACCCGUGUAGUCCCUGUCUCUUAUACC
Molecule: ribosomal RNA, 303 nt
Filed under: uncultured bacterium
Lineage: Bacteria
Description: partial 16S ribosomal RNA
Rfam family: Bacterial small subunit ribosomal RNA
Source: RNAcentral